GGCCACUGCUAUUGGGGUUCGGCUAAGCCAUGCGAGCGGAGGGCGCGGUCGCAAGAUCGUGGCCCCGCACACGGCUCAGUAACACGUAGUUAACCUACCCUCAGGACGGGGACAACCUCGGGAAACUGAGGCUAAUCCCCGAUAGGUGAGGGACGCUGGGAUGCCCCCUCACCCAAAGCUCCGGCGCCUGAGGAUGGGACUGCGGCCUAUCAGGCUGUUGGUGGUGUGACGGACCACCAAACCUACGACGGGUACGGGCGAUGGGAGUCGGAGCCCGGAGAUGGGGACUGAGACAAGGCCCCAGGCCCUACGGGGCGCAGCAGGCGCGAAAACUCCGCAAUGCGCGCAAGCGUGACGGGGGGACCCCAAGUGCCGUUGGUCUUUUGAUCGACGGCUUUUCGGAAGUCUAAGAAGCUUCCGGAAUAAGGGCUGGGUAAGACUGGUGCCAGCCGCCGCGGUAACACCAGCAGCCCAAGUGGUGACCACGAUUAUUGGGCCUAAAGCGCUCGUAGCCGGGCUAGCAAGUCCCUUGUGAAAUCGGGCCGCCCAACGGUUCGGCGUGCAAGGGAUACUGCUGGUCUCGAGGCCGGGAGACGUCUGAGGUACUCCCGGGGUAGCGGUGAAAUGCUGUAAUCCUGGGGGGACCACCAGUGGCGAAGGCGUCAGACGAGAACGGACCUGACGGUGAGGGGCGAAGGCUAGGGGAGCGAACGGGAUUAGAUACCCCGGUAGUCCUAGCUGUAAAGCAUGCGGGCCAGGUGUCUAGCGCUCCUCGAGGGCGCUAGGUGCCGGAGGGAAGCCGUUAAGCCCGCCGCCUGGGAAGUACGGCCGCAAGGCUGAAACUUAAAGAAAUUGGCGGGGGAGCACCACGAGGGGUGGAACCUGCGGUUC
Molecule: ribosomal RNA, 891 nt
Filed under: uncultured archaeon
Lineage: Archaea
Description: bacterial SSU rRNA
Rfam family: Archaeal small subunit ribosomal RNA
Source: RNAcentral